GGAGCCGGCCCGGCUCAGUCUGAUUUACGGCUCUGCUGAAAACCGCUUCGCUCCCGCAGCAUCAGCACCGGUGGCGGCGGCUGCAGCAGCAGCAACAAGUCGGAGAAGUUGUCACAUUCAACCAUUUCCUGGAAGCGGCAGCUGAGAAGGAGGUUCAAGGGAAAGCCCGGCUCCAGGACUUUAUUGAGAAUCUGUUACAGCGGGUAGAACUGGCGGAGAAGCAGCUCGAGUACUAUCAGAGCCAACAGGCCUCUGGCUUUGGCCAUGAUCUCAGCGGGCAUGUGCUUACAGACAUCUCCUCAAAUAGGAAGCCUAAAUGCCUAAGCCGAGGGCACCCGCAUUCGGUGUGUAACCACUCUGAUCUCAAGGCCCAUUUCCACCCAAAGGGAAGGAACCACCUGAAAAAGGCCAAGGAUGACAGAGCCAGCAUGCAGCCUGCCAAGGCCAUUCACGAACAGGCCGAGUCCUCAAGAGACCUCUGCAGACCUCCGAAGAAAGGGGAGCUCCUGGGGUUUGGCCGCAAAGGCAACAUCAGGCCCAAAAUGGCUAAAAAAAAGCCAACAGCCAUUGUGAACAUCAUCUAAAAGGGUGGGUGGUGCUGGACCAAUCAUUGCUGGGCUUUGGGGAACGUUGUUCCAGGGGCCAACAGUAAUGUCUUUCUGGAAACAUUCCAUAGUAAGACACAUUGGAAAAGCCAAGGGCAUAACACAGGCAAGCACCUCGAUUAGCCAGAGCUUAGCAAAUGGGAAUCUUAGUGAACCAGAAUUUUAUUAAAGCCCCCUUUUAGAAGCUUGCAAAUUACAGAAAGAAUAAAAAAAAAAAUCAAUCUUAAAGCUCUAACUUCUAAAGUGACUGGCCCAGUCUCCAGUAAUCUUGGCAUCUGGGCGUCUGUGCAGUGGUCGUUAAUUUUCAGGACCAAGGCCACACAAAAUGUCAGGCCUAGGGAGAAAAUUCAUCUGUGCCCACUGCUCUCCAAAGCGUGAGGCAAGGAAUGGGAGUGUAAAGUUCUGUUAAUAGCAGUAAAAUGAAGAUAUUUGUGUUUGUGUAUAACCUUCCCCUCAGCUAAUUUGAAAGCCUACAAAAUAAGGAUUCCCAUUCCCCGAGUAUUCUGGUUAAUCAAGAUUUCAAUUUCUGGGUUGCUCGAGGGACUCGUUCAGUCAGACUUCAGUUCUCAUUCCGACAGAGUGUCUUUCAGUUUGUUUGAUUGAGGUUUUUUGGUGGCCUAGAUGCAUGUUUAUUCAGAUUUUGGUACACCUCUGCCGUCUUCUUUGGCUGAGUAUUCUGCACCCACAGACCACGCUGCCAGCCUCUAUCUUAAUAGCUGCUUCUGUGGAUAUGGCUGGGGAGCGAAGUAAAACCCUCUUUUGAUUAGCACCCAGCAUGGGCUCAGCGACUAGGUGGUUGGAAUGACAGUGGACUGCACGUUUGGUGCAUCGUGACCAUCUGGAAGCACUGCGGGUGUCACCAAGCCCUUUCCUAAGACCUGCUUCUCGGACAGUGUCAGUGGCCCUCUCUCUCUUUGCUAUGGGCAUGACUUUCUCUUCGCUGGCUUAACUUUUCCACUGGGUGGUUCACUUCGCCUCCUGCUGCUUCUGUGCCCUGUUAAGGCUUCAGGUAUCUUUCAACCAAGUAUCUGGAGUGUUCACUGUAUGUUGCAUUCUAAAGUAAUUUCUGAAAUAAACAAUGCAUGUAGGAGCCAGAAUCUGACACUGUCUUCCCCUCCUUCCCUCCCUAAAAUGGCUUUUGUUUCCACAAAGAGCUGUUAAGAAGUUCCUGCUGUAUGAUUUUCCUCAAGAAUGAAUUUCCAUGUUAUUUUUUCCUUAAAUUUAGCAAUAUCAUCAGGUCUCAUGCAGAGUUUAUAAGUGCUGACAUUCUUCUGAAAACAGGAAUAAUUUUGUCCACAAAUAUAUACAUAUAUACAUAUAUAUAACACAUACAAAAUAUAUAUGUUAAGUAUAUUAAUAAUUUAUUUUUAAAUACUCAUGGAGAAAGUGUGUGUUUGUGGUGGGUGGUUUUUAAACUAUAUAUGUUUGUUCAUGUAAACUGAAUUCUCUUAUUUAAAAAAUCAAAACUGUAAUGUGAUUAACAUUGGCAGAAUUAUGAUUGUUAUUGCAAUAAGCAUCAAAUUAGCAGCGCAUUAAAAAUAGGAAAUAAAGCAGUUGCUUAAAAUGCCAGUCAAUUGAAAAGUGUAACUUAUCAUUAUACAAACAUUUUGAACCUGUCAUAAUGAAAAUGUUCUUGAAUCUUCACUUUGACUUUCGGUUUAUGGGGGGUAGAUCAUUCAUGUGAUAUAUAAGCAGCUAUCAAGUGGGGAAAAACAUUGCUGUGAAUAUCACUGUUUAGGCUAACAUUGUAAAAAUUGUAAUGUUAUAAUUAUUAUUUAUUUGGAGAAUUAACUUCCCCCUCUAAAGUUAUUUAUUAUUGAUGCUUAUACCAUGAUUGCACUUUAGCCUUUUACAUACUAAAAACAUGACUUGUUAGUUGUAUUGCAUGCUCUUUGUCCCGUAAUGUGUGUGCAAUGACAACUUGUUUCUGUUUUAUUUAAAGUAACUGACAUUUCGGAUUUUCAUCUAACAUACCUAGAGGGCAUGGCAACUCUCUUUGACAGUGGUACCCCCAUGAUCUUCAGAAAGUACCAUAAUGUCAUCCUACUCUACAUUUCACAAGACAAAUUAUUUUGAGAUUUAUUAUAUUAAAUUUUUUUUAAGUUCUCACUAAAUUUUGACCCCCAUAUAAAGAAAUGUGUUAUGUAUGUUGUGCCUCCUUAGAGACAUAAAUUUAGUGUCAAAACAUGGGAGAUGGCUUACACAGAAGCAUACUCCACUUAACACACCAUGGCCUGAGCUAAGUACCAUGUCCUGUUUGUGUCUUAUUUUUAAAUAUUUUCUUUGUCCACAUGGGCAGUUGACAGAGUUAAGGCGGUUGCUUUUUUGAAGAAAUUGCCAAAGUUUCUGGGAAACUAUGUUCAAGGUUAAACUGGAGAGUAGAUUUAAUUUUAUUUGUCUUGUAGGGAAGAAAUCUUCCUUUGAACUGUUUUUCUUGCUUUUUCCCUUUUUCUCAAACUAGGUUACAGAUUCUUAUCUGCAAGGUUCAAGUUGCUUAGACACUGUUUUCCAGUAUUCUGCAGGGCCAGUCAGUUGUACAGAAGUUGGAAUAUUCUGUUCCAGAAUUAAAGAAGUUUUUAGAUUAUGAAAUAUUAUGAUAAUAAAGCUAUAUUUCUGACUAAUGUGUUGA
RNAcentral lists this small RNA (3234 nucleotides) under Pongo abelii (Sumatran orangutan). RNAcentral's name for it is "processed transcript". Lineage: Eukaryota; Metazoa; Chordata; Mammalia; Primates; Hominidae. The record is from RNAcentral.